This 278-nucleotide long non-coding RNA is filed under the name Setaria viridis. Its description in RNAcentral is "long non-coding RNA (SVIR_LNC000941)". The record is from RNAcentral. Lineage: Eukaryota; Viridiplantae; Streptophyta; Magnoliopsida; Poales; Poaceae.
UAGAUGAAACUCUUUCCUUCUCUCUCUUCUUAAAAGUUUUGCCACAUCAUCCAAAUUACUUAUGUGGCACCAUAUUAAAUGAGAAUUAAACCCUUAUAAAACCCCACUGGGAUUAGUCUUACAGCACUGGAUGGCAGUAUCAUCAAAGCCAUGGUAACGCGGCCUGCCAACAGCAUCGAUAAGGUGCUGUUUCAACUCUAUUUAGUCCAAAUUACCCCCUCAUUCUUGAGUUCUUUCAAAUGAAGGUAGGUAAGGCCUAGUCCCCGACCCCACCCCAC